AUACGGAGGAUUCGAGCGUUAUCCGGAAUUAUUGGGUUUAAAGGGUGCGCAGGCGGACCGUUAAGUCAGCGGUGAAAAUCUGGUGCUUAACAUCAGGAGUGCCGUUGAUACUGGCGGACUAGAGUAUGAUUGACGUAAGUGGAAUGUAGCAUGUAGCGGUGAAAUGCAUAGAGAUGCUACAGAACACCGAUAGCGAAGGCAGCUUACGAAGUCACAACUGACGCUCAGGCACGAAAGCGUGGGGAGCGAACAGGAUUAGAUACCCUGGUAGUCCACGCAGUAAACGAUGAUAACUGGCUUUUGGCGAUAGACGGUCAGAGGCUGAGAGAAAUCAAUAAGUUAUCCACCUGGGGAGUACGAUGGCAACAUUGAAACUCAAAGGAAUUGACGGGG
RNAcentral lists this ribosomal RNA (393 nucleotides) under uncultured bacterium. RNAcentral describes it as "partial 16S ribosomal RNA". It matches the Rfam family "Bacterial small subunit ribosomal RNA", at positions 523 to 918 of the family's 1533-position model. The record is from RNAcentral.